UGUUUGGAAGCAAGAUAUACAUGAAGAGGGCUGAUAUACAUGCUGAUAUACACUGAUAUACAUCAGUUGUAUACCAAAAACGGGAUUGAAUAAAUCUCCAGAAAUUACAGCGAAAAUGGCCCAAAAAAGGAGGCCCAAAUUCAAUUUCUAACUUGUUUAAUUGUGUGAUUAUUUAUUUAUUUGUUUUCUUUUAAAUUGCGACUUAAUUUAAUUAAAUUCCCCAAAAGAUAAACCGUAUUCUUUGUGUUUAGUUUUCUUUAAAAAAUAAUUCAUUUUAUCAACUCCUAUGCUCAUUCAAAUAUUUUAGUCAAGAACUUUCACUCAUCUUUUAAUUAGAUUAAAAUAAUGUCUUGGUUUGUCUACCAAGUUGGUUCGAAUUAUUAUUUCUAAAAUAUGACAUAAAUAAAAUUUUUAAUUAAUCUAGUUUUUGUUAAAAUCCUAAUUGACCAAGUUGUUUCAAUUAAGGUUCCAUUUUCUUAAAAAAUAAAAAAAUUGCUAUUUAUUUAACUAUUUUCUCAAAUUUAUCUAAUAGUACAAAAUAUAUUUUAUAACUCUUUACUUGGUCAUUUUUCUCGAAAAAAAAGGAUUAGUCAAAACUUUGCUUUCAUUCUUCAAUUAAUUAAAAAAUGAUUUUCAUGCUUAAUUUUAUUGGCUUAAAUUAUUUAUUUCGAAAAUGGAUUAAAGAAAUUCUAAUUAAUCUAGUUUUACUAAUAUUCUAAUCAUUUGUAUUUCGACUCAAAUCUUUUAUUUUGGAUACCUUUCUCAAAAAAAAAAUAAAAGCAUGUCAUUUACUUAAUUAUUUUUCUCAAAGUUAAUAAAAUAUGGUAAUUUACUAUUCUUAUGCUAAGUCAUUUUUAUUCUUUAUUUUCUAAAAAUAGUCAAAUAUAUUUUAGUCAAGUCGCAGGUCAACCGCAUGUUAGCGGACACUUCGAAUGCUUAAACCCUUCUCGAAGUGUAAAUUGAACCCCGAACCCCCUUUGGUAUUUUCAAAUGAUUUUUUCUGUUUAAAUCUUUGAAAAAUUAUAAGUUUUCUUAAUUUCUUUAAAAAAUUAAGUGGCGACUCUUUCUAAGUAUUUCUCAAAAUUGUUUUAUACUUAGAACAUUUCAAAAAAGUGAUUUUUCUGAAUACAGUCAAAUUACGGCACGACAA
RNAcentral lists this long non-coding RNA (1150 nucleotides) under Solanum tuberosum (potato). RNAcentral's name for it is "long non-coding RNA (STUB_LNC006971)". Lineage: Eukaryota; Viridiplantae; Streptophyta; Magnoliopsida; Solanales; Solanaceae. The record is from RNAcentral.